UUUUACUCUCUCUAAAAAAAAUCAUAUUUUACUCUGCAUUUUACGUAAUGUACUCACCAUAAUCACCAAUUCAAUGUCAAGAUAUCAUAUGGUUUGUUGCAAUCUGCUCGCUAUGUGCUUUCUCUUGUGAUUACAAUUGCAAGUUUAGUUAUGAUUUAUUUGAUUCAAUUGAUCUCUUAAAGCAUGCUGCUAAAAUUUGAAUCACAUGCUAUUUUGUUAGUGUGAUAAUUUAGUAAGAGUAUUUCUAAUUUGAUCAGUGUUAUGCGUGAGAUUUUUGGAGUUUCAUUGUGUAACCUGUUCUGGAAAAGUGUACUGAGGAGUUGAUGAUAAUUUGAGGCUAUAACUCUUGUUUGUGGUAUAAUACUGGAGUUUCAUAGGGUUUGAUAGCAAUAUUUUUAUGUAAUGUUUGAUUUGUAUAAAAAUACAAAGCAAGGAAAUGAAGAAAGCAACAUAAAUGGGUAAGAAAUCAUUAACCACAAGCUUCAAAUCUUCAAGAUCAAAGUGUGUGUGCAAAGCCCUAGCUUCCAAAACUUAUUCUCUCAAGCCCUAAGAACUGAAGAAAUGCCAAAAGAUAUCCAAAAAUAUGAAUUGCCUAAUUUGCCCAAGUCUGAUGCCCGACAAUCGUACCAGCAGAAGAAUCAUCGUAGGUGUGGAUCUGCAGAUGAAGAGCUCCCAUUGCAUACAUGAUUUUUAGCUAACACUUUUCUACCGUAGAUGUGGUUCACCAGGUGCAGAUGCGCCACCGCAGAAGUAGAAAACCAAUUGCAGAUGUGAUUCUUGAGAAAUUGUCCAGCUCCACAUGUGUUUACCCGUAGAAGCGAGGUCGCUUCUGCGACCAUUCUUCCAUAGAUGCGGAAUCACUGGAGAAUUUUACAUCAUUUUCACCUCUUUUGCUCAAUUCCAAAGAAAUUCAAUUCAAAUCGCUUCGUAGUAUUAUUUACCUGAAAAUUUAACAAUACACAUCAUAAAUGACCUCAUAUUUAUAGUUAAAGGAUAUAAAAGCUAAGGAAAAUAAACUAGAUUGAGUGAUAAAAUCACCACUCAUCAAGGUUACCAAGAGAUCUUCGAGAGACCAAGAGAUCCCUAGUGUAUAUAUAUUCAGUAUACCAAGAUAUCCUCGGGAUAGCAAGAGAUCCUGGUUAUUAUCAUUGUUGUGUGCGGUAUUUCCUUGUGGUUUGCCUUUAUUUCUAUUACGUUAUUGUACUCUUAUUAUCAUGUAUAGAUUCUUACUGUAAAUUUCAAUUACACUGUUCAUCUUAUUCGGUCAUUGUAUUAUUUACUUACUCUCAGUAGCGCCCUGAUCUUCCUCGCCACUACCUAACCGAGGUUAGGCUUGGCACUUACUGAGUAUUGCUGUUGUGUACUCAUGCCUGUUCUCUGUAUGUUGUUGAUGUUCAGAUCCAUGUACUUCUACUCAGGCCUACCAUCCUUAAGGGAGGUAUCUGCUAUAGAGACUUUGAGGUACAUCUUCCGCGUCCGCAGACCGAGGAGUCCCUUUCCAUUCUAGUUGUUAAAUAUUGCGCUUCUAUAUUUUUGUUUCUUGUUAGAUAUUCUGGAGUUAGACAGUUAGAUAUUCCAAAGGCUUGUGUUCCCAUAAGUUUCCA
RNAcentral lists this long non-coding RNA (1604 nucleotides) under Nicotiana benthamiana. Its description in RNAcentral is "long non-coding RNA (NBEN_LNC009335)". Lineage: Eukaryota; Viridiplantae; Streptophyta; Magnoliopsida; Solanales; Solanaceae. The record is from RNAcentral.